RNAcentral lists this ribosomal RNA (325 nucleotides) under uncultured eukaryote. RNAcentral describes it as "partial 18S ribosomal RNA". It matches the Rfam family "Eukaryotic small subunit ribosomal RNA", at positions 1470 to 1796 of the family's 1831-position model. The record is from RNAcentral.
CCCUUAGAUGUUCUGGGCCGCACGCGCGCUACACUGAUGCAUUCAACGAGCCUAUCCUUGCCCAACAGGUCCGGGUAAUCUUUGAAUCUGCAUCGUGACGGGGAUAGAUUAUUGCAAUUAUUAAUCUUCAACGAGGAAUGCCUAGUAGGCGCAAGUCAUCAGCUUGCGUCGAUUACGUCCCUGCCCUUUGUACACACCGCCCGUCGCUCCUACCGAUUGGGUGUGCUGGUGAAAUGUUCGGAUCGGCCGUUUGUCGCGGUUUCCGCGUCAUGUGGCUGAGAAGUUCAUUAAACCCUCCCACCUAGAGGAAGGAGAAGUCGUAACA